Non-coding RNA from Paralichthys olivaceus (Japanese flounder), 364 nucleotides. Lineage: Eukaryota; Metazoa; Chordata; Actinopteri; Pleuronectiformes; Paralichthyidae. The record is from RefSeq and is a predicted model, not a curated record.
UGUUAAGAUUGUGUUUUCUCUCGUCCCUUGGCCAGGAUGCUGCACAUGUGACGGCCAGUGGUGAUGGACGAGACCCUCAGAGUUCCGUGACAGUUUUCCAGUUAGACUGUUACACAGAUGAGGGAGACAUCGCAACGUUGCAGGAACCUCCUGAGAUCGUCAUUGACUCAAAUGACAGUCUUGAGGACGAGGUCGAUGAGGAUGAAUAAAAUCAUUGUUGAAUAUCUGAAAGGACACUAUAGCAUCCCAGGCAUUAUCGAAGUUUUUAUCCUAUACCCACAUACAUAAAAAUAUUGGUGGAUUGAAUUAGAACUAUAUGAGGUGGAAUAUGUGAAAACCAAUCUGUACAAUUAAGCUACAACUA